Grammomys surdaster is the source of this 1998-nucleotide long non-coding RNA. RefSeq lists it as uncharacterized. The transcript has 5 exons. The record is from RefSeq and is a predicted model, not a curated record. NCBI's taxonomy places the organism in Eukaryota, Metazoa, Chordata, Mammalia, Rodentia, Muridae.
UGUCCUUCUGUUGAUUUGAGGUGCCCAGAAAUGCUGGUCCUAUGUUGAUAAAAAUGGCUUAUCAUUUGAGAUGAGCAGCCUUUGUCAACUGACUGGCAGGCCAUGUGCCAUAAGAUAGUGUUUAAUAGUAUUUUGUCAAUUUCAGAGUUAAUAAUAAAAUACGUACUCAACAUGGCAAUAUCCUGAGUAGUCUUUUUAAUAUACUUAAAGAUCUUAUUCUUAGGUUUAAUUAUUUCAAUAGUAGUAGAGAUGUAGAAACUCAUAGAUUAGAGGUGGGCUGAUGUCGGAUCUAUGAUGACGGUUGAUGCUGUCUGAGUAUCUUAUCAUGAUCAUAUGUCUGAGAGUCUGAGGUCCACAUCGUAAAAUAUCUUGAAUACGCCCAUCCUCUUAGGGGCCAAUUCUAAGAGUUGGCUACUUCUAUAAUUAGCUAAAAUAUCAAUCAAAAUAACUUUUUAAGUCUUUUUCAAGACGUAUUACAUACGAAAAAUAUCUCCCAAGCAAUAGCUCUUUCAUACCUGAUGGCUCAGGAUGCCAUGCCACAUGAGCUCAAAUUGUAGUCAGAGCCAUGGCUAUUUGGUUUCUGAGAAAAGACUCAGCAGAGGUUGUUAGAGCCUUAGCUGAGUGAUGAGAAGAGGGGUAAUUUCAAGCAUGAAAAUGUAUGGAUAAAUUAACAGAAUACCAAUAUUCUCUUCCGCUUUAAACUCUGAGAAUGGAUUUUCCCCAGCUGAUUUUCCACAUUCUGUAUUCUUCGGGUGAGCACGGAAACAGAUUCCUGCCUCACUGGUCACUAGGUUCAUGGUCCCUCGCAUAUGUGUCAGAAGCAUAGUCACGAACAUGCUUUCCUGGAGAUAUUCACAUUCUGGUUCCUGAAUAUACAGAGACUGAAAAAGGCCCAACUUAAUAUCAAUGGGUGGAUCCUGUCUCAUCCUAAGCUCUAAUGUUGCGUGGGUCACAGCUACAACCGGCUCAGCGAACCCUGUGGAAGAGGAGGUGGAAACAGUGUACGAGCCAAUUUCAAUGGAAGACACAGAGGAAGCUAGGCCUUCUGGACACAAGAGGACUGAUGUACCUGUGAACUCUCAGAGACUGAGGCAGCACGCACAGGACCUACACAGGUCUAAGCCCGAUGGGCUCUCAGCACCGAGAGGGGAACUGGACACAAUUCUAUAUUCAUAAACCAGAAACUUUCUCCAGUUGAUAAACUCUGUCAAAGGACAUAUAAGAACUGGACAUAUAAGAACAGGCCCCACCGCCCUGAUGGCCAACACAUGAUGAACUCAAUGGCAUUUUUGGAGGGUUUUGUGACUCACAAUGCGUUGUCUGGUACUUUUUUUUUUUUUUAACACGCUACAGAUAUUUUUUGUAUAUAUCAUGGUUUCUGACUGUAUUUUUUGAAUUUUCUUAUAUGUGUCCCAGUGUCCGUAUAUGAUUUUUCUUUGACUCUUUUUUUUUUCCUAUUCUGCUUUGCUUCUUUUUUCUUAAUUGGUCAUUUUAUUUAUUUACAUUUCAAAUGUUAUCCCCUUUCCCAGGUUUACCUUCCAGAACCCCCCUAUCCAAUCCUAUCUACUCUCUAUUCUCUGAUGGUGCUAACCCCCCCACCAACCCACUCGUGCCCCACAGUACUAGCAUUCAUUCCCCUACAUUCAAUCAUCAAACUUCAUCGGACCAAGGGCCUCUCCUCCCAUUGAUGCCUGAGAAGGCUGGAGCCAUGGGUUUCUCCAUGUGUACUCUUUGUAUGGUAGUUUAGUCUUUGGGAUACCUGGGGGGCGGGGGGGUUAAUCAUUGUUCUUCCUAUGGGGUUGCAAACUCCUUCAGCUCCUUCCGUCCUUUCAAUAACUCAUCCAUUGUAGUCUCCAUUUCAGUCCCUUGACCAGGAGCAUUCUCUCUAUAACAGUCAGGCUGUCAGAUAAAGGCUAUAUCAAGCUCCUGUCAAUCUUCUUUGUUUGUAUCUCCUCCUCCUCCUCUUCCUCUUGCUCCUCCUCCUCCUCCCCUUCCUCC